Long non-coding RNA from Cebus imitator (Panamanian white-faced capuchin), 1019 nucleotides. RefSeq lists it as uncharacterized. Lineage: Eukaryota; Metazoa; Chordata; Mammalia; Primates; Cebidae. The transcript has 2 exons. The record is from RefSeq and is a predicted model, not a curated record.
UGUGAGGGAGAGGAAGCCAGCGAAAGGCAUUCUGGGCCUCAUAGGUCAAGUUAUAAAAGUUUCCAUGAAAUCUCUGCUGGUGUCUGGGACAUAUUCAGCCAAGGCCUUUCUUUAGCUGGGAGGGUGCAAAUACCAGGUCCAGCCCAGAGUGAAAACAGCUGUGCGUCUCUCAUGCGCCCCCUUGCCCCCGUGUCUCUGUUAACUCAUCUGCACGUCGUUCAAUGACAAUUAUGCUUUCUGGUUCCUCACCUAUUCAAACCCUCAGACUGUAAUGGCAAAUACAUCUCCACAGUGGCAACUAAAUGCUGAUUUUUGUUCUGCAGAAAUCAUGGCGCUUUGAGUCAUGAAGCUGGGGGUGUGAGGUUUGCUUGGGCAGAUCUCCUAGUGUAGGCCAGGAGUGGGUCAGAAACCUGCCUUAGAAAGAACACGGUCUUCAGAUGCUACAGGGCAGUGUGGUGACCAGUAGAAACUCCACACUUAUUGAGUGGCAAAUGGUACAGGAGAUGAAACUAUAGUCACUAGAGAAACUGAACCGAGGAUGGAUGAGAGCUCCAACCAGGACACACAAGAGGAUGACCAGCUGAGGUUAAGUGACACUGAGUGGCUCCAAUCCUCAAGGUUGUAUUCGUUUCUCCUCUAGUAGUAGGAGAUAUUGAUCAAAUCUCAGGACCAUUUCUUUAAAGGGGAACUUGAUUUGUUCACCUGCCAUGAGAUGCCCCAAGAAGCCCCAAUACAGCCACCUGCUGCUGUGUGAUUAUUUCCACAGCCUGAGACUCUCACCAGAGGCCAUUAGCUAGUUCUGGCCCCGAAUUCUUCUUCUUCUAGCCAGACUGGUUGCACAGGAUCUUGAGCUCUCCUUGGUGUCCACAAAUUGAUAAAUUGGUAUUUUGUUCUGUUUUUCUCUUUUCUUAAGAAGUUGCUUUCUUGUGAAAAGAUGGAUGUUGUUGUAGCCUCUCCAUCCCCCAACCUCAGUCUUCCACGUGUUCUCAAAAAUAAUAGCUAAGUGUGUUGCAACAACA